UACGGAGGGUGCAAGCGUUAAUCGGAAUUACUGGGCGUAAAGCGUGCGCAGGCGGCUUCUCAAGUCAGAUGUGAAAUCCCCGGGCUUAACCUGGGAACUGCGUUUGAAACUGGGAGGCUAGAGUGUGGCAGAGGGGGGUGGAAUUCCACGUGUAGCAGUGAAAUGCGUAGAUAUGUGGAGGAACACCGAUGGCGAAGGCAGCCCCCUGGGCCUGCACUGACGCUCAUGCACGAAAGCGUGGGGAGCAAACAGGAUUAGAUACCCCCGUAGUCC
Molecule: ribosomal RNA, 273 nt
Filed under: uncultured bacterium
Lineage: Bacteria
Description: partial 16S ribosomal RNA
Rfam family: Bacterial small subunit ribosomal RNA
Source: RNAcentral